GGUUGAUGUGAUGAUAAGCUUUCACAGAAACAUAGUGUUGACUAGAAAUUCAGACUACAAUUAUCUGAUCAACU
Molecule: small nucleolar RNA, 74 nt
Filed under: Dichanthelium oligosanthes
Lineage: Eukaryota; Viridiplantae; Streptophyta; Magnoliopsida; Poales; Poaceae
Description: Small nucleolar RNA Z155
Rfam family: Small nucleolar RNA Z155
About the family: Z155 is a member of the C/D class of snoRNA which contain the C (UGAUGA) and D (CUGA) box motifs. Most of the members of the box C/D family function in directing site-specific 2'-O-methylation of substrate RNAs.
Source: Rfam by way of RNAcentral